RNAcentral lists this long non-coding RNA (6939 nucleotides) under Homo sapiens (human). RNAcentral's name for it is "non-protein coding CCDC18-AS1:32". The record is from RNAcentral. Lineage: Eukaryota; Metazoa; Chordata; Mammalia; Primates; Hominidae.
CCUGAGUAGCUGGGAUUACAGGCGCGCACCACCACGCCCGGCUAAUUUUUGUAUUUUUAGUAGAGACGGGUUUCACCAUGUUGGUAAGGCUGAUCUCAAACUCGUGACCUUGUGAUCUGCUCACCUUGGCCUCCCAAAGUGCUGGGAUUACAGGUGUGAGCCACUGUGCCCGGCCUUGAUCAUUUUAAAUUCAUAAAUAAUACUUAGCCCCUGAGUAAUUAUAAUAAAUAUAUAAUUAAUGCAUAUAUCACCCAUAGUUAAUUAGGAAUAUUUUAUUGGCUUAAUGAGCAAAAUAUGAUCAUAAAAUAUAAGCCAUCAUAGCCCAGAUGUAUAGCAAUAAAAGAGCUUAGAUUAUAAUAUCUCACAAUACAAGUCUGCAUUAGCAAUGACACUGUUAUAAAAUAUUUAUAACACUUUCUGAUUUAAUUUUAAAGAGAUUCAUUCAGUAUCUUUUUGGCAUUUGAAAUGAAACCUUAUUUUCCCUCCACACAAUAGCUGAUUAAAAACAGCUUUUGAAGAGGUCCCAGGCAACACACACAGAGGGGAAAUGGUUAGAUACGUGGGGCAUCUUUGUAUUUUCACAUUAAAAUUCAAUGUUAUUCAGACCCAAGUAGAUAGAUAAUAAAAGUGGCAUUCAAGUUGGGAAUGGUAGCACAAGCCUGUAGUCUCAGCUACUCAGGAGGCUGAAAUGGGAAGAUCACUUGAGCACAGGAGUUUGAGGUUUUAGUGCACUGUGAUUGCACCUGUGAAUAGCCACUGCACUUCAGCCUAACAUAGCAAGACCCCAUCUCUUUUUUUAAAAUGUUACAUUUAUAAUCAGUGAGGAAAAUAUAAACUAUACAAUAAAUGAAAGGGUCAUUGGCCAAUUGUUUGGAGGGAAAAAAUACACCAUGUUCUAAAAUAAAUUUCUAGUGAUUUAUUGUGACUUUCAUGCAUUUGGAUGAUUUUAAAGAUUUUAUAUAAAAAUGAAACCAUAGCCUUACGAGAAGAAAAUAUAAAGAAAAACUUGUAUAGUCUUGGGAGGGGGGAUUAUAUUAUGUGAAACAUUAAGUAAAAUAUUUAUUUUUUAAAUAUUAAAAAACUAAAAACUGUGCUUUAGAAGUCACCAAAAAAUUAAAGGGCAGGCUGGGCAUGGUGGAUCACACCUGUAAUCCCAGCUUUGGGAGGCUGAAAUGGGAGAAUCACUUGAGGCGGGGAAGUUCGAGACCAGCCUGUGCAAUAUAACAAGACCCCCAUCUCUCCAAAAAAAAAAAAAAAAAAAAAAAAAAAAAAAAAAAAAAGCCAGGCAUAAUGGCGUGUGCCUAUAGUCCUAGCUACUCAGGAGGCUGAGAUGGGAUGAUUGCUUGAGCCCAGGAGUUUGAGGCCACAGUAAGCUAUGAUUGCACUAUUGCACUCUAGCCUGGGUAACAGUGUGAGAACGAGACCCUGUCUCAGAAAAAAGAAAAAAAGAAAAAGAAAAAGGGCAAGUGCCAAAUGGAAAGAGAAAAAAAAAGGACUAACAAUUAGGAAGUCUUACAUAUCAGUAAGGAAAAGAUAAAUAGCCAAACAGAAAAAUGGGCAAAGGACUUGUACUGGUAAAUCAGAAAAGAAGAAAUGAAAAGGGUCAGCAAAGAUUUUUUUUUCAUUUCCAUCAAUAAUAAAAGAUGCAAAUCAAAGCAACAUUAAAAUACCAUUUUGCCUAUCUAAUUGGUAAGGAUUAUUUUUAAAGAUAAUACUCAGUAUUAGAGAAGGUAAUUAAUAAUGUGUGCCACAAGAUGUUCAUUGCAGUGUCCUUCCUUCCUCCCUCCCUUCUUUCCUCCCUCCCUCUUUCCCUUCUUUGCUCUCUCUUUCUUUUUUCUUUAUCUUUUUUUGGUAUAUGUUUGAUAUUGGUGAAAAACUGAAAAAUGAAAAUGACCAACAAAAAGAGGACUGGUUAACUAAAGUAUGGUAAAUUCCUUCAACCAAACAUCAACACUAUUCAACCAAUAAAAAUGACACUAUAGUUAAUAUAUUUGAAAAGAUGUUCAUAAUAUAUGAAGUUUUUGUUUUGUUUUGUUUUCUUAGACGGAGUCUUGCUCUGUCGCCAGGCUGGAGUGCAGUGACACGAUCUCAGCUCACUGCAACCUCCACCUCCCAGGUUCAAGCGAUUCUCCUGCCUCAGCCUCCCAAGUAGCUGGAACUACAGGCACGCACCACAACACCCAGCUAAUUUUUGUAUUUUCAGUAGAGACAGGGUUUCACCAUGUUGGCCAGGAUGGUCUUGAUCUCUUGACCUCGUGAUCUGCCCGCCUCGGCCUCCCAAAGUUCUGGGAUUACAGACGUGAGCCACCAUGCCCGGCAUAUAUGAAGUUUUAAAAAAUCAGAAUACAGAACAAAAUUUAUUGGGAGAUGAGCUUCUUUCUUUCUCUCUUCAACACCAUCGCCACAUCACCUCCACAUAUACACACACUGAAAAGAUACUGAAAAGACAUAAUAACCAUGGGAAAUGGAGAUUACUGGAUUGUUAAAUGUUCUUUUUGCCUGUCUUUAUUCUCUAACUUUGCUAUAAUGAACAGAAAUUAUUUUUUGAUAAGCAAAAAAUAUUUUAAAUUUAAACAUGUAAAGUAACUUAGUAGUUGUCUUUUCAAAAUAUGUAAGAAUCAUUAGUUCACUAGUUGGUUAAAUAUGUUUUUAAUCCCAACAUCUUGAUAAUUGUCGCAAAAUUGAGGGAACAUUUUUUGAACUCUAAAAUGCUAUAGAAUUGACAGAUCAUUUUUCAGUUCAUAAGUUAUUACUUAUAAUCAGUUUUUUUAUUGUUACUAUGGCAAUAUUUUAUACACAAGAAUGGCUGAGGUUAGGAAUUUGUGCCCUGAAAAUUGUAUCAACAUAUCAAAUAUGAAGUAAAUAACAAUUUCUUGCUUUAAAUAUAACAAAGAUGUGGGAAGAAGUGGUAGGCAAGAGUCUCUGUGUUACCAUGGGAACGAUUAAGUUUUCCAAGGUGCAAACCAGCCUCAUUCCAGCUUCAGGGUCAAUGACUUACUAGCUCAGAGGGAAAUGUAUAAAUAUUUAAGUACAUACCUACUAUCUGUACAGAGUGACUCUCAUUACCCAGAGAACUGCUGUAAAAUAUUAUUUAUUCACAGAUUACACAAAACCAAUCUAAAUUAGUACUUUUAUACAUUCUAUUUGGGGAGUACUUAAGGUGUAUGAGCAAACAAAUUGUUAUCCAGGUCACUCCAGAACUGUUGUAUACAGAUUAAGAAUUGAUGUUGGAUACUAAUUAAAAUCAUUAAAGCAAAAUCAAAAAACACUUUGGCUAGCAUUUCAAUUAUUUUUUAAACAGGAUUUCUUAAAACAAUCCCCAAAGUAGUCUUGUAAUUUGUUCAUUUUAAGGAUCUAUGUUACUCUGAGGCCAAUCAAGGGGGCUAACAGUCUAGUUGGGGAGCCAAGAUAGCCAUUCAUCAAUUCAUUCAUUCAUUCAGUAAAAUGUAUUGAGAACCUACUAUGUACCAAGCAAUGUGCUGGGCACUAAGCAUUGAAGAAUACCUGAAACAUGGCACCUGACCUCAAAAAGCUUAAAAUUAGGAGACAUAGACAUGUAAGUAAAUAACUGCUAUAGGCAAAUCUCAGCAACUGCCACACCUGCUUGCUCCUUUAGCAGAACUUCUCUGAUUGGCCAUAUUCUGCACAUAGUGACCAACUCACCUCUUUUCCCUAUCUGCUUUCCUUGCUAUAGCUGAGAAAAAAGCUGUGGCCCAAAAGUUUCUCCCCUGAGAGGGACAGGAUCAGAUUGUCUUUUCAAGAGUUCCCAUGUGCAAUACAGAGCUGAAGUUGAAGCUGAAAGGAUUCAUAGAGAAAGAUAACUGAUACCGUGCUUCCAGAAGAUUUUUCUAACAGUGUUUGCAAGCUAUAAAAUAGUGCUUUCACUUAGAAAAGGCUAGACGUGGUGGUUCAUGCCUGUAAUCCCAGCACUUUGAGAGGCCGAGGCACCAUGCUGGGAGAUAAGGAUCCAACAUAAGACAAACAGUGCUGAUGCUUUUGGAAAGCUCAUAUUCAAGCUGGGGAGACAAACAACAUACAAUUGCUGAACAGAAGACUUUUGAGAGUCAGCAGAAAUCUUCCACUUUGCAUGGUUCUCUUGAUGUGAAAUCAUCUAUAUAGCCCCAGAAUUGGAAAAGAAAAAAAAUAAAAAAAUGGAAGGAAACUGGAUUCGACAACAGUCUAAUGCUUUCUACUUUUAUUUACUUUUUCUUUAAAAAAAGUAAAUUCUGUUUAUAGUUACAAACAUCUGAUUUCUCAAUGAAUACUAGAGGAAAAAGGGAACAAAGGAAUCCAUAAUCUUCAAUUUACUUAAGAACUUAAUUAACCAAAUGCAAUGGACUCUAUUUGGGUACUGAUUUGAACAAAUAAACUAUAAAGACAUUUUUGAGACAAUUGGGGAAAUGUGAACAAUGAUUGGGUAUUUGAUGAUAUUAAGGAGUCACUGUCAAUUUUUAGGUGUGAUCAUGGUAUUGUGGUUCUGUUCCAAAAAAUAGCCCUUAUCUUUUAGAGCUAUGUUACAGUUUGGCUCCGUAUCCCCAUCCAGGCUUCAUCUUGAAUUGUAAUUCCUGUAUGUCAAAGGAGCAACCUGGUGGGAGGUGAUUGGGUCAUGGGGAUGGUUUCACCCAUGCUGUUCUCAUGAUAGUGAGUUCUCAUGAGAUCUGAUCGUUUAAAAGUGUGACACUUCCCCUCUUGCUCUCUUGUCUCCCACCACCAUGUAAGACAUGACUUGCUUCCCCUUCUGCCAUAAUCAUAAGAAUUGUAAUUUUCCUGAGGCCUCCCAAGCCAUGUGGAACUGUGAGUCAAUUAAACCUCUUUUCUUUAUAAAUUACCCUGCAACUGUCACCAUUCUCCAGACCCCAGAAUGGUAGAUCCAGCGACAGCCCUUGCACCUUCACCUGGAAAAGCCUCAGGCACUCACACCAGCCCUAAGACUGUGUAAUUUAUAAGGAAAAGAGGUUUAAUUGACUCACAGUUUUUAUAGCACUGUGAAAAUGGACUAAUAACAGAAAACUGGUAUCAGAAUAGUGGGGUACUACUAUAAAGAUAACCUGAAAAUGUGGAAGUGACUUUGGAACUGGGUAAUGGGCAGAGGUUAGAACAGUUUGGAGGAAUCAGAAGACAGGAAGAUGUGAGAAAGUUUGGAACUUCCUACAGACUUGUCAAAUGGUUUUGACUAAAAUGCUGAUAGUGAUAUGGACAAUGAAGUGCAAGCUCAGGUGGUCUCAGAUGGAGAUGAGAAACUUAUUGGAAACUAGAGUAUCUUGUAUGUUUUAGCAAAGAGACCAGUGGCAUUUUGCCCCCACCCCAGAGAUCUGUGGAACUUUGAAGUUGAGAGAGAUGAUUUAGGGUCUCUGAGAGAAGAAAUUUUUAAGGAUUCAAGAGGUGAUCUGGCUUUUGUGAAAGUGUACAGUCAUAUGCAUUCACAAAGAGAUGAUCUGAAAUUGGAACUUAUGUUUAAAAGGGAAGCAGAGCAUAAAAGUUAAAAAAAAAUUGCAGCUUGGCCAUGUGGUAGAAAAGAAAAACCCAUUUUAUGGGGAGAAAUUCAAGCUCGCUGCAGAAAUCUUCUUAAGUAAUGAGGAGCUAAAUAUUGCCAAGACAAUGGGGAAAAUGACUCCAGGCCAUUUCAGAGAUCUUCAAGGAAGCCUCUCCCAUCACAAGCCUGGAUAUCUAGGAGGAAAAAAUGGUUUUGUGGGCCAGGCUCAGAGCCCCACUGCUCUGUGCAGCCUCAAGACGGGGUGACCUGUAUUGCUGUUGCUUCAGCUCCACCCAUGGCUAAAAGGGGUCAAGGUACAGCUCAGACCAUUGCUUCAGAGGGUGCAAGCCCCACACCUUGGCAGCUUCCAUGUGGUGUUAAGUCUGCAGGUGCACAGAAGACAAGAGUUGAGCUUUGGGAGGCUCUGCCUAGAUUUCAGAGGAUGUGUGGAAAUGCCUGGAAGUCCAAGCAGAAGUCUGCUGUGGAGGUGGAGCCCUCAUGGAGAACCUCUACUAAGGCAGUACAGAGGAGAAAUGUGAGGUUGGAGCCCCCACACAGAGUCCCCACCGGGGCACUGGGUAGUGGAGCUGUAAGAAGAGGGCCACCAUUCUCUAGACCCCAGAAUGGUAGAUCCACCAACAGCUUGCACCGUGCACUUGGAAAAGCCCCAGGCACUCAACGCCAGCCCAUGAAAACAGCCACAGGGGCUGUACCCUGCAGAACCACAGGGGUGGAGCUGCCCAGAACUUUGGGAGUCCACCCCUUGCAUCAGUGUAGCUUGGAUGUGAGACAUGGAGUCAAAGGAGAUUAUUUUGGAGCUUUAACAUUUAAUGACUGCUCCACUGGGUUUCAGAUUUGCAUGGGCCUUGCAGCCUCUUUGUUUUGGCAAAUUUUUCCCAUUUGGAAGGGGAGCAUUUACCCAAUGCCUGUACCCCCAUUGUAUCUUGGAAGUAACUAACUUGUUUUUUAUUUUAUAGGCUCAUAGAUGGAAGGCUUGUCUCAGAUAAGACUUUGGACUUGGACUUUUGGGUUAAUGCUGGAAUGAGUUAAGACUUUGGGGUUCUGUUGGGAAGGCAUGAUUGUGUUUUGAAAUGUGAGAAGGACAAGAGAUCUGGGAGGGGCCAGGGUUGGAAUGAUAUGGCUUGGCUCUGUGUCCCCACCCGAAUCUCAUCUCAAAUUGUAAUCCUCACAUGUGGAGGAAGGUACCUGGUGGGAGCUGAUUGGAUCAUGGGGGUGGUUCCCCCAAGCUGUUCUCAUGAUAGUAAGUUCAUUCUCAUGAGAUCUGAUGGUUUAAAAGUGUGGCAUUUACACACUCUUUCUCUCCUGCUGCCAUGUAAGACAUGCCUUGCUUUCCCUUAACCUUCUGCCAUGAUUGUAAGUUUCCCGAGGUGUCCCCAGCCAUGUGAAACUGUGAGUUAAUUAAAGCUCUUUUCUUUAUAAAUUACCCAAUCUCAGGUAUUUCUUUA